This is a long non-coding RNA of Mauremys reevesii (Reeves's turtle), 1027 nucleotides long. RefSeq lists it as uncharacterized. Lineage: Eukaryota; Metazoa; Chordata; Testudines; Geoemydidae. The record is from RefSeq and is a predicted model, not a curated record. The transcript is spliced from 3 exons.
CUCCCAUUAACCUUUAAAGAAGAUUCAGCAGCCUGUCCAGCUCAACGACAUUCAGCAUUUCCUACCUGGUCUGGGCAAUUCAUUAGCCCUAAUUAGAGAAACAACUGACGAGACUGCAGCUACUGAGAAGCCCAGUUCCUAGGCCUGUGCUGCUGAUCUCAUAUCCAGAGUGCCAGGACCUUUGGGAGCUCACAGCUGAGACAAACUCUGACACAUUUCAGCAGGAGACAGAGGAGACUGAGAGGAUUGCUUGGGGAUCUUCCAACUGGAGCAAGAGCCAAGGGGAUGCAGUCCUGGCAUCCUGGCAGGGCAGAGGAGGGCAAGAGGAGAUUUCCAGGCCAGUGGAUCUCAGACUCUGACCGGCGCCCCACAGAGCCCUUCUGCACACUGCCGCCCCUGCACUGGGGCCUGGGAGGGAACUGGCCCAGAUGAGGAUCUCGUCUCUCUAGAGUGGCCCCCAGAAGGCGUCCGAUGGAAGCCAUUGCCCAAAGGAGGAAGGGCACAUCUGUGACAACCUGCCCUGCAUCAGAAGAGGGCUAAAGGGCUGAACUGGGGAUCCAAGCCCUGUGACGAUGUCCUGCCCCAGGCAGGUAUUUGGUGGGGCACAUCACCUCCUGUCAGUCUGACCUGUGCUGUCUUCUAAACUUCGGCCAUAGUGUAUCUAGCUUGUCGUCAAGUCAAGUGGGCAGCAGCCUGUGGGUGAGGCUCUUUGAGACUCCAGGAGGGAAUGGCCCAUGCACUGCGAGAAGGCACCAUGCCAAGGAAACCAUUGCAGAGCCUGGCACUGCCGGGCAUGGGUUAGCGGGGCCUGUUGGCAGCCUCCCCCUUGAGCAUCUCCUGAGAUCACAGUCUGGAUGGAGACUCUGAAUUCUGCUAGUUGACGGCAUGUGCCCAGCUCAGAUAAAAGUUUUUGUGGUUUAGCUUCGUGGGCAGAGGAGGCGCCGUGGAGCCAAAGAAGAAACAAAUGGCCAUGAGAGGAGAACUUGGCAGGGACCAGAGCAGCAGCUGGGUGGGAGAGCUCCCCAAG